This 394-nucleotide ribosomal RNA is filed under the name uncultured bacterium. RNAcentral's name for it is "partial 16S ribosomal RNA". It matches the Rfam family "Bacterial small subunit ribosomal RNA", at positions 523 to 918 of the family's 1533-position model. The record is from RNAcentral.
AUACGGAGGAUGCAAGCGUUAUCCGGAUUUAUUGGGUUUAAAGGGUGUGUAGGCGGAUGAUUAAGCGUGAGGUGAAAUGCCACUGCUCAACAGUGGAACUGCCUCGCGAACUGGUUGUCUUGAAUGCUCCUGCCGUGGGAGGAAUGUGUGGUGUAGCGGUGAAAUGCAUAGAGAUCACACAGAACACCGAUUGCGAAGGCAUCUCACGAAGGGGUGAUUGACGCUGAGGCACGAAAGCGUGGGGAUCAAACAGGAUUAGAUACCCUGGUAGUCCACGCAGUAAACGAUGAUAACUAACCGCUGGGUCGUAGUGAUUCAGUGGCCAAGCGAAAGCGAUAAGUUAUCCACCUGGGGAGUACGACCGCAAGGUUGAAACUUAAAGGAAUUGACGGGG